GGCUCUCUCGGGAGCUUUC
Molecule: small nuclear RNA, 19 nt
Filed under: Arabidopsis thaliana (thale cress)
Lineage: Eukaryota; Viridiplantae; Streptophyta; Magnoliopsida; Brassicales; Brassicaceae
Description: snRNA_19088
Source: RNAcentral